CCGACUUGCUGAUUCGAUGUGGCACCUGUAUAACUACUGUUAGUACGUCGGAAAUGUCCGAGUUUCCUAGUUGCGAAUAGUUCCGACAGACGUGGUAUCAGAACGUAUACCAUGGGCUUAUCCUGGCAUGACGUUUUGAUAACCGCGCAAAUCUCUCUCGGACAAGAACUACACAUCCUGCCUCAAGCUUUGACGUCAUCACCCAAGGCACGUUUCUCCAUGCAAACUCUCAUCGACAAGUAACAAGUAAACUACCAUGUAGAUACAGUAUUAUAGCCUUUGUAGUUUCUCGUAAAUUAUUGAUAGUGUGUAUUUCUCGUCUUGUUUAGUAUUCUUUUAAAUUAGCUAGCAACGUUUAGCAGUUUUUAAAAUUACUAGAUUUUCUACAUUUGUAUUGCCCUCUGGCCUUUUGUAGCGAACUAGCUAACCUUAGGUCUCCGUCGAUCAGAAGCAAGGAUGGUUCUGUGCUUAUGUACCGGAUUGUAACCACUACUCCAAAAAGCACACACACAUUUUGUUUUCCGACCCCGAGAGACGUCGCUGGAGCAGUGUGAUAAGGCCAACAGGAGUGUACCCCUCAGAUCAUCCGGUGCAUGGACAUCCUGUGCCAGUGGUAUGAUAUCCUGUGCCAGUGUGAUCCGAGCGCAACCGUCCAGUUGUAGACUACAGCAGAUCGAGCCUGUGGACGGAGAGUCCAACAGGAGUGUAUCCUUCAGACCAUCCGGUGCAUAGACAUCCUGCGCCAGUGUGAUCCGAGCAUGAGCGUCCAGUUAUGGAGGCUACCAGUAGUGGAAAAAGUACUCAAUUGUCAUACUUGAGUAAAAAUGAGGCGUGACAUGCGAAACAUCAGUCUCACCCCACGAGAAGCAGUACAUGAUCAACGCCAUCCUCAGCAAGGAGAUCUGCUGGAAGUGAUGUACUCUCACUCUGGGGAAAGCGGGUACUGACAGGAGGAGCAAUUACGAGUCUGUCAGAGGUCGUCAUGAUGGAGGCUUGGUGGUCAAAACAACACAGAAUCAGGUGUUCCUUCCAAUGAUGUGGCACAGACCUUGGACCUGGUUCCAGUGAGGAUGGUAUUCAGAGGCUGUAAGGCCCUCCAUCAUUGAUAUAGAAAUCAACUUCAAUGGUAAUGCCCCUGCACCAUAAGGACACUUGACCUCUAACCACUGCAGUGGUGCUCACCAGACCAUCCAGACAACACCCCAUCCAAUGAGUGUGAUCUGCUCCACCGACAGCACCAUGCCAGCCUGGUUGCCUGCAUGCCCCAGGUGCCCUUGUUUUUGAACAAUGUCUGGUACAGGGAGAGUUGCGGUUGUUCUAGCUCAGGUUCAAGGAGACAUGCCAUUCCACUGAACCUUCCCUGGGGACGGUUCCUUACCUGAAGAUCCUCCUCUGGGCUCCCGGGACAGAGAGGAUUUGUAGUCUUCGGCCAGGUACAGGCCCCCCCCCACUGACUGCACCUGGUUGGGCCCGGCUGGCUUCCUCCUCACACUCCACAUCCAUACAGCUGAUAUUGUGAACUGCCAAAAUAGGCUGCAUGGCUACACUUAUGAGCUCCAUGGGGGCAUUUGCUUGUGGUAGAGAGAAUUACCUGGUCACUUAUUAUAGAGACCUGACAAGCGGAAGGAUGUUGAUGUUAAGUGCCACAUGCCUUUCUGUGCUUGACUUUGAACACCCUGAAAUGCAUUUGUUGUACGAGUGCUAUAUAAGAAGUUUGACAUUACAACUGUAGAAUAUUUCAACUGUAAGGACAAGUGCAGUUUUUCCAUAAACUUUUAAUUGAUAACUUGAUUUUCACUUGACAUAUCAGUCAGUGCAAAGGAUCCCAUAAUCAAGACUGAAUAAAUACAUUGUUUUUGAA
Long non-coding RNA from Oncorhynchus kisutch (coho salmon), 1861 nucleotides. RefSeq lists it as uncharacterized. Lineage: Eukaryota; Metazoa; Chordata; Actinopteri; Salmoniformes; Salmonidae. The record is from RefSeq and is a predicted model, not a curated record. The transcript is spliced from 8 exons.